RNAcentral lists this long non-coding RNA (1797 nucleotides) under Homo sapiens (human). Its description in RNAcentral is "HSALNT0348327". The record is from RNAcentral. Lineage: Eukaryota; Metazoa; Chordata; Mammalia; Primates; Hominidae.
UCUCCUCCAACAAUGGGGAUUACAUACAGUUUGACAUGAGAUUUGGGCAGGGACACAAAUCCAAACCAUAUCAGUCCUGCACUACCUUCCCUUCACCAUCACCCUCAAUUUGGUAUUUCCUUUCCUUUCCCAGGCUACUUUCUGUAUGGCCAUUAUCACAUUUGUCCCGUUGUAUUGUAAUUUUUUGUUUACAUCACUGUCUCCCUCUUUAAGCUUUGAGUUUCUUCAAGAUGGGCCCGUUACUUAUUUAAUCUAAGGAGCAAUGAGCCCUCUUUAAAUGUUUGUUGCUUACACAAAUGAUUGCCAUUUGUAGGGGGAAAUGAAGGCAGGAAAACCAGACAAAAUUGCAUAGGCAAGAAGCUGUGAGGAUCAGUGAAGUAGGAUAAUGGUCCUGGUGUUAGUUGAAUGGGGAUAAGUUUAAAGAGGAGCUGGGCAACUGAUUUGUUUUCAGAAGAGAGGGAGAGGUCAAGGAUAACACCUGGAUUUCUUAUUUAAAGUAAUAGAUAAUGGGGCCAUUGACCAAGAAAGCGACUACAGCAAGUCUGUAAGAAAGAUAGCCUUCAGUCUUGAUGCAUGAGACUUGAGGUGCCUAUGAUAACAUCCAAACGUGGUAUUCCAGUAGAUGGUUGAAAAUAUAGAUAGGGAAUUAAGUGGGGCAUCUCUCCUAGAAAUUUUGACAUUGGUAUAUGGGCAGCAAUUAAGACCAUGUUUAUGAAUGAGUGCGUGGUGAUAGGUGUGCCAAAUAUUUCCUGUUCUCUUACAGGAAUAUAGGAGGAUUGUAUGCCCUGGCCUCCCUGUGAUGGGGUUGAACUACAUGACAUGUUCUCCGAAUUAAGUGUGAGCAUAGCAUUUAAUUGUUGAUGCAAGACCUUCCAGAACUCUUUUUCUCUUUGCCAUGGCAAUCAUCAGUGUUCCAGAGAGCAUAUGCACGAUCAGCCUUGGUAUUGGAGGGAAGAUGAUGCGGAACAGAGUCCCAGUCACAUCAUGAAGGACAUGUAAAAUGCUGUAGAAGAACCUCUUCUGCAAGACCAUUCAUUCAUGCCUUGAGACAGUAUGAAUCAAGCUGACUUUUUUUUUUUCCAAGGAGUUUUUAAACUAUAUAUGUGACACCCCGAUGAAUAAGAAGAGCAGCCAGCUGAGAAGGGGAACUCUACAAAGCUAUUUUUUCAACAGCUGUGACUGACCCACUCACCUCACAGGGAACAGCUAUGCAGAGGAGGAAUGACAAGUAGAAGAGGGGAAAAGGGAAAAUAUAAACAAAAAAAACAGUACAUUUCACACAAAAGCAGAGGAACAGAAAGUGAAAUCUGAGACAGACCAUCAAGCUUCAGACCAUCAUGCAGCAAGGGCUCUAGCCAGUUCCAGGUGAAGACCCCACCCCGGGCCAUCAAGGAGCUUCCCUGCCUCCACUAGACAGAGCAGAGUGAGAGUUCCAUGAUCCCCAAUAGGUAGGGGCUAUGCCUCAAGCCAGCAUGAAGCAGUUACAGAAAAAAAGACCAUCAGUUCCUCUGCCUCCCAUGGGGAUCACAUCUUUCAGCAGGGAGAUGAGGCAUAAAAACAAGGUCUGGAGGCAGGGAAUUCAAGGCCGAUUCACACUUCAGCUAUGACAGGAAAUAUCCUCUCCAUAGGGUAUAGGCCAAGUAAAUGACUUUGUAACUUUACUCCUCAUUUUCAUAGGUUGCACCCCAAGUAAGCAAUGGAAUCCUCUAGAGGGUAUUUCCCCAAAAUUCUGUAAUGGGGUCCUUGAGCCCCUAUGCUCGGGCCCACUCCCACACUGUGGAGUGUACUUUCAUUUUC